This 499-nucleotide ribosomal RNA is filed under the name uncultured bacterium. RNAcentral's name for it is "partial 16S ribosomal RNA". It matches the Rfam family "Bacterial small subunit ribosomal RNA", at positions 28 to 507 of the family's 1533-position model. The record is from RNAcentral.
GACGAACGCUGGCGGCGUGCCUAAUACAUGCAAGUCGAGCGAAGUUUUUCCGGUGCUUUCCCCGGAAAGACUUAGCGGCGAACGGGUGAGUAACACGUAAAGAACCUGCCUCAUAGACUGGGACAACUAUUGGAAACGAUAGCUAAUACCGGAUAAUAGCAUUAACUGCAUGGUUGAUGUUUAAAAGUUGGUUUUGCUAACACUAUGAGAUGGCUUUGCGGUGCAUUAGCUAGUUGGUGGGGUAAAGGCCUACCAAGGCGACGAUGCAUAGCCGACCUGAGAGGGUGAUCGGCCACACUGGGACUGAGACACGGCCCAGACUCCUACGGGAGGCAGCAGUAGGGAAUCUUCCGCAAUGGGCGAAAGCCUGACGGAGCAACGCCGCGUGAGUGAAGAAGGCUUUCGGUUCGUAAAGCUCUGUUGUUAGGGAAGAAUGAUUGUGUAGUAACUAUACACAGUAGAGACGGUACCUAACCAGAAAGCCACGGCUAACUACGUG